This 1526-nucleotide long non-coding RNA is filed under the name Nicotiana benthamiana. RNAcentral describes it as "long non-coding RNA (NBEN_LNC023485)". The record is from RNAcentral. Lineage: Eukaryota; Viridiplantae; Streptophyta; Magnoliopsida; Solanales; Solanaceae.
AACACUAGAGACGUAGGACCCCAGCCGCAAUACACAAUAGUCCCCUCAGCUGCUGAACUUCAUUUUCUUCACACCUUGAGCAACGAACAAACAAAAAAAAAUAGACCCCAUCAACGACCAAGAUCUUUUAACCCACAAUACAAAUCAGCCGUGAACACACACACAGAAUGCCCUCUCCUGAACUUCUUCUUCAAAGAAAUUUUCUCUUUAAAUUUCUAUUAAAACUCAACUGUCAAUAUUACCCCACCAUAUUUUAAAACCUAAAGAGAAACCCUCUCCUUCAUACAACAUAAAACACUAGAGAUGUAGGACCCCAGCAGCAAUACACAAUAGUCCCCUUAGCUCUUGAGCUUCAUUUUCUCCACACGUUGAGCAACGAACAAACACAAAAAAAUAGACCCCAUCGACGACCAAGACCUUUUAACCCACAAUAUAAAUUAGCCGUGAACACACACAGAGAAUGUCCUCCCCUGAACUUCUUCUUCAAAGAAAUUUUCUCUUUAAAUUUCCAUUAAAACUCAAGUGUCAACAUUAAACCACAAGGAAACUCAAAAAUCGGCCAAGAACUCUAGCUUUGAAAUGCAACGAAACAGUCCUAAAAAGAAGCAGAAUUAGCUGUAAAACUCGACUGAAAUCGAUCCCAAAAUCAGAUCUAAACAACUACCAAAUUUGUCACCGUCGAGAUUUGGGUUUUUCUGUCGAGUUUAGAAAGCCGUGUUCGAGUUCCCAUUGCCGUCGAUGCUUCUUUUUUCUUGCGGUCUCUAAGGCUCCUCUUUUCUACUUUGAAGGUUCAUCCUUAACUUUAUCUCUUAGCUUGAAUAGUUUCAGUUUUGACUAUAUUUCGGAUCUUAUUUUUGUUAAUAUUUGUAGCUAUUUUGUUAUUCAUGAUUCAUUAGUUAAAUUAGUACAUGUGUUAGAAUAGUUUUGUCUAAUGUAAUCCUAAGUUUAUGAAUGUUAAUUUGAAAUGAAAUACAUGCUGUUGAUUAUUGAAAUAUGGACAAUUCUCACAUUUUUAUUUGGCCUCGUAUUCGAAUUUAAUAAUUCACUCCAUAGUUUAGCUUGUGCUUAUUUAUUUCAAUUAUAAUGUAAGUAUAGUGAAGUAUGUUCUCUUUUCUGUUAGGCUAAAUUUCGGCAAAACUAUGUGGAUAUGGCUUGUUUAGGCAGGGACAUUGUUGAUGCAGUAGUUCCAAUUCUUGUGACAUUUGGAGAAGAGCAGCGUCUCUGGUUUCGGGUUUACGGAUGUUUCCAUUUUUCUUCUCCAAUGUUGAAUUCUGCUUCUGUAAUGCUAACUCUGAUUCAUACACAUCCAUCCAAACUAUCCGAGAUUAUCGUUUUGUUCACCCAUUUUGCAUAGAGUUCAUUAAUCUCAAAAUGUUAGGAAAAUAUUUAACAUCUUAGCUUGUUGUAGGCAUGAUUUAAUAUAUUGUCGUGAUUGUGUACACGUCCUCGUGACAUAAUUAAGAUUUUAAAAAUAAAAUCAAAGUAUGCAUUUUAGAAACUUCGACUAAACUUUCUUUAUAAUAACA